AGAUGGUACUACGUGGGAAUG
This 21-nucleotide microRNA is filed under the name Bombyx mori (domestic silkworm). RNAcentral's name for it is "bmo-miR-2837". Lineage: Eukaryota; Metazoa; Arthropoda; Insecta; Lepidoptera; Bombycidae. The record is from miRBase by way of RNAcentral.